AGUCUAUUGAUUAUUUAAUAGAUGAACUCUGCUCAAUGAUAGAUUUAUUAAAUAGCCGCAGUAAACUGACUGUGCAAAGGUAGCAUAAUAAAUUGUCCCCUAAUUAGGGUCUAGUAUGAAAGGAAUCAUAUAUGGAAUCUGUCUCAAAUUUAUACUUUACUAAAUUUACUAAGCCGGUGAAAAUUCCUGCAUUAAUUAAUGAAAGACGAGAAGACCCUUAGAAUUUUUAUGAAAUAUUAAUUUACCUAUAAAUUUUAUUAUUUUUUUCGUUGGGGCGACGAAUAUUCAAUAGAUAACAAUAUUUUUUUAUUAAUACUAGUCCACUUUUAGUUAGUUAGGUAAAAUUACCUGAGGGAUAACAGCAUAAUUUUUUUAACAUGUUUAUGACCUCGAUGUUGGACUAGGAUAAGAUAUUGGUCAGAAACCUAUAUUAGUAAGUUCUGUUCGAACUACAAAUCUCCU
Molecule: ribosomal RNA, 462 nt
Filed under: Discus pauper
Lineage: Eukaryota; Metazoa; Mollusca; Gastropoda; Stylommatophora; Endodontidae
Description: partial large subunit ribosomal RNA
Source: RNAcentral